This 60-nucleotide transfer RNA is filed under the name Dipodomys ordii (Ord's kangaroo rat). It matches the Rfam family "tRNA", at positions 7 to 64 of the family's 71-position model. Rfam says of the family: Transfer RNA (tRNA) molecules are approximately 80 nucleotides in length. The record is from Rfam by way of RNAcentral. Lineage: Eukaryota; Metazoa; Chordata; Mammalia; Rodentia; Heteromyidae.
GUGGCUCAACGGUAGAGUACUUGCCUCCCAUGCAUGAGGCCCUGGGUUCAAUUCCUCAGC